UACGGGGGGGGCAAGCGUUGUUCGGAAUUACUGGGCGUAAAGGGCUCGUAGGUGGCCAACUAAGUCAUACGUGAAAUCCCCAGGCUCAACUUGGGAACUGCGUCUGAUACUGGAUGGCUUGAAUUCGGGAGAGGGAUGCAGAAUUCCAGGUGUAGCGGUGAAAUGCGUAGAUAUCUGGAGGAAUACCGGUGGCGAAGGCGGCAUCCUGGACCGAGAUUGACACUGAUGAGCGAAAGCUAGGGGAGCAAACGGG
This 253-nucleotide ribosomal RNA is filed under the name uncultured bacterium. RNAcentral's name for it is "partial 16S ribosomal RNA". It matches the Rfam family "Bacterial small subunit ribosomal RNA", at positions 524 to 776 of the family's 1533-position model. The record is from RNAcentral.